This 695-nucleotide ribosomal RNA is filed under the name uncultured bacterium. RNAcentral's name for it is "bacterial SSU rRNA". It matches the Rfam family "Bacterial small subunit ribosomal RNA", at positions 141 to 848 of the family's 1533-position model. The record is from RNAcentral.
GGAUACCCGAGGGAAACUUCGGUUAAUACGGUAUAAGACCACACUACCGCAUGGUAGAGGGGUAAAAGGGGCAACCUGGUAUGAGAUGGACUCGCGUCGCAUUAGCUAGUUGGUGAGGUAACGGCCCACCAAGGCGACGAUGCGUAGCCGACCUGAGAGGGUGAUCGGCCACAUUGGGACUGAGAUACGGCCCAGACUCCUACGGGAGGCAGCAGUGGGGAAUAUUGGGCAAUGGAGGAAACUCUGACCCAGCAAUGCCGCGUGAAUGAAGAAGGUCUUCGGAUUGUAAAGUUCUUUAGUCAGGGAAGAAGUCAAUGACGGUACCUGAAGAAUAAGCUCCGGCUAACUACGUGCCAGCAGCCGCGGUAAUACGUAGGGAGCAAGCGUUGUUCGGAAUGACUGGGCGUAAAGGGUGCGUAGGCGGUUGUACAAGUUAGAAGUGAAAACCCAGGGCUUAACUCGGGUGCUGCUUCUAAAACUGUAUGACUUGAGUGCAGUAGAGGUUAGUGGAAUUCCUAGUGUAGCGGUGGAAUGCGUAGAUAUUAGGAGGAACACCAGAGGCGAAGGCGGCUAACUGGACUGCAACUGACGCUGAGGCACGAAAGUGUGGGGAGCAAACAGGAUUAGAUACCCUGGUAGUCCACACUGUAAACGAUGGAUACUAGAUGUAGGAGGUAUCGACUCCUUCUGCGUCG